This 380-nucleotide ribosomal RNA is filed under the name uncultured bacterium. RNAcentral's name for it is "bacterial SSU rRNA". It matches the Rfam family "Bacterial small subunit ribosomal RNA", at positions 28 to 409 of the family's 1533-position model. The record is from RNAcentral.
GACGAACGCUGGCGGCGUGCUUAACACAUGCAAGUCGAACGGUAAGGCCCUUCGGGGUACACGAGUGGCGAACGGGUGGAGUAACACGUGGGUGAUCUGCCCUGCACUUCGGGAUAAGCCUGGGAAACUGGGUCUAAUACCGGAUAGGACCAUGGACUUCACGGUUUGUGGUGGAAAGCUUUUGCGGUGUGGGAUGGGCCCGCGGCCUAUCAGCUUGUUGGUGGGGUAAUGGCCUACCAAGGCGACGACGGGUAGCCGGCCUGAGAGGGUGUCCGGCCACACUGGGACUGAGAUACGGCCCAGACUCCUACGGGAGGCAGCAGGUGGGAAUAUUGCAACAAGUGGGCGCAAGCCUGAUGCAGCGACGCCGCGUGAGGGAU